GACGAACGCUGGCGGCGUGCUUAACACAUGCAAGUCGAACGGAAAGGCCCUGCUUUUGUGGGGUGCUCGAGUGGCGAACGGGUGAGUAACACGUGAGUAACCUGCCCUUGACUUUGGGAUAACUUCAGGAAACUGGGGCUAAUACCGGAUAGGAGCUCCUGCUGCAUGGUGGGGGUUGGAAAGUUUCGGCGGUUGGGGAUGGACUCGCGGCUUAUCAGCUUGUUGGUGGGGUAGUGGCUUACCAAGGCUUUGACGGGUAGCCGGCCUGAGAGGGUGACCGGCCACAUUGGGACUGAGAUACGGCCCAGACUCCUACGGGAGGCAGCAGUGGGGAAUAUUGCACAAUGGGCGGAAGCCUGAUGCAGCAACGCCGCGUGCGGGAUGACGGCCUUCGGGUUGUAAACCGCUUUCGCCUGUGACGAAGCGUGAGUGCCGGUAAUGGGUAAAGAAGCACCGGCUAACUACGUGCCAGCAGCCGCGGUGAUACGUAGGGUGCGAGCGUUGUCCGGAUUUAUUGGGCGUAAAGGGCUCGUAGGUGGUUGAUCGCGUCGGAAGUGUAAUCUUGGGGCUUAACCCUGAGCGUGCCUUCGAUACGGGUUGACUUGAGGAAGGUAGGGGAGAAUGGAAUUCCUGGUGGAGCGGUGGAAUGCGCAGAUAUCAGGAGGAACACCAGUGGCGAAGGCGGUUCUCUGGGCCUUUCCUGACGCUGAGGAGCGAAAGCGUGGGGAGCGAACAGGCUUAGAUACCCUGGUAGUCCACGCUGUAAACGGUGGGUACUAGGUGUGGGGUCCAUUCCACGGGUUCCGUGCCGUAGCUAGCGCUUUAAGUACCCCGCCUGGGGAGUACGGCCGCAAGGCUAAAACUCAAAGGAAUUGACGGGGCCCCGCACAAGCGGCGGAGCAUGCGGAUUAAUUCGAUGCAACGCGUAGAACCUUACCUGGGUUUGACAUGGAUCGGGAGUGCUCAGAGAUGGGUGUGCCUCUUUUGGGGUCGGUUCACAGGUGGUGCAUGGCUGUCGUCAGCUCGUGUCGUGAGAUGUUGGGUUAAGUCCCGCAACGAGCGCAACCCUUGUUCACUGUUGCCAGCACGUUAUGGUGGGGACUCAGUGGAGACCGCCGGGGUCAACUCGGAGGAAGGUGGGGAUGACGUCAAGUCAUCAUGCCCCUUAUGUCCAGGGCUUCACGCAUGCUACAAUGGCUGGUACAGAGAGUGGCGAGCCUGUGAGGGUGAGCGAAUCUCGGAAAGCCGGUCUCAGUUCGGAUUGGGGUCUGCAACUCGACCUCAUGAAGUCGGAGUCGCUAGUAAUCGCAGAUCAGCAACGCUGCGGUGAAUACGUUCCCGGG
This 1343-nucleotide ribosomal RNA is filed under the name uncultured bacterium. Its description in RNAcentral is "16S ribosomal RNA". It matches the Rfam family "Bacterial small subunit ribosomal RNA", at positions 28 to 1378 of the family's 1533-position model. The record is from RNAcentral.